Molecule: ribosomal RNA, 253 nt
Filed under: uncultured bacterium
Lineage: Bacteria
Description: partial 16S ribosomal RNA
Rfam family: Bacterial small subunit ribosomal RNA
Source: RNAcentral
UACGUAGGGGGCAAGCGUUGUCCGGAAUCAUUGGGCGUAAAGGGCGUGUAGGCGGCUCGGUAAGUCCGCUGUGAAAGUCCAGGGCUCAACCCUGGAAUGCCGGUGGAAACUGUCGAGCUAGAGUCCGGAAGAGGCGAGUGGAAUUCCUGGUGUAGCGGUGGAAUGCGCAGAUAUCAGGAGGAACACCAAUAGCGAAGGCAGCUCGCUGGGACGGUACUGACGCUGAGGUGCGAAAGCGUGGGGAGCAAACAGG